AACGACUCUCGGCAACGGAUAUCUCGGCUCUCGCAUCGAUGAAGAACGUAGCGAAAUGCGAUACUUGGUGUGAAUUGCAGAAUCCCGUGAACCAUCGAGUCUUUGAACGCAAGUUGCGCCCGAAGGCCAUUAGGCCGAGGGCACGUCUGGCUGGGUGUCACACAACG
Molecule: ribosomal RNA, 167 nt
Filed under: Zenkerella egregia
Lineage: Eukaryota; Viridiplantae; Streptophyta; Magnoliopsida; Fabales; Fabaceae
Description: 5.8S ribosomal RNA
Rfam family: 5.8S ribosomal RNA
About the family: 5.8S ribosomal RNA (5.8S rRNA) is a component of the large subunit of the eukaryotic ribosome. It is transcribed by RNA polymerase I as part of the 45S precursor that also contains 18S and 28S rRNA. Functionally, it is thought that 5.8S rRNA may be involved in ribosome translocation.
Source: RNAcentral